This 1045-nucleotide ribosomal RNA is filed under the name Bacillus sp. enrichment culture clone S2012A3. Its description in RNAcentral is "bacterial SSU rRNA". It matches the Rfam family "Bacterial small subunit ribosomal RNA", at positions 39 to 1046 of the family's 1533-position model. Lineage: Bacteria; Bacillati; Bacillota; Bacilli; Caryophanales; Bacillaceae. The record is from RNAcentral.
GCGGCGUGCCUAAUACYUGCAAGUCGAGCGCGGGAAGCAAGCAGAUCCCUUCGGGGUGACGCAUGUGGAACGAGCGGCGGACGGGUGAGUAACACGUGGGCAACCUGCCUUGCAGACUGGGAUAACCCCGGGAAACCGGGGCUAAUACCGGAUGACCAAUCAAAUCGCAUGAUUUGAUUGUAAAAGUAGGGACUUGUUCCUUACACUGCAAGAUGGGCCCGCGGCGCAUUAGCUAGUUGGUGAGGUAAGAGCUUACCAAGGCAACGAUGCGUAGCCGACCUGAGAGGGUGAUCGGCCACACUGGGACUGAGACACGGCCCAGACUCCUACGGGAGGCAGCAGUAGGGAAUCAUCCGCAAUGGGCGAAAGCCUGACGGUGCAACGCCGCGUGAGUGAAGAAGGUUUUCGGAUCGUAAAGCUCUGUUAUCUGGGAAGAACAAGUACCGGUCGAAUAGGCCGGUACCUUGACGGUACCCGAUCAGAAAGCCCCGGCUAACUACGUGCCAGCAGCCGCGGUAAUACGUAGGGGGCAAGCGUUGUCCGGAAUUAUUGGGCGUAAAGGGCGCGCAGGCGGUUUCCUAAGUCUGAUGUGAAAGCCCACGGCUCAACCGUGGAGGGUCAUUGGAAACUGGGGAACUUGAGUACAGGAGAGGAGAGCGGAAUUCCACGUGUAGCGGUGAAAUGCGUAGAGAUGUGGAGGAACACCAGUGGCGAAGGCGGCUCUCUGGCCUGUAACUGACGCUGAGGCGCGAAAGCGUGGGGAGCGAACAGGAUUAGAUACCCUGGUAGUCCACGCCGUAAACGUUGAGUGCUAGGUGUUAGGGGUUUCGACGCCCUUAGUGCCGCAGCAAACGCAUUAAGCACUCCGCCUGGGGAGUACGAUCGCAAGGUUGAAACUCAAAGGAAUUGACGGGGGCCCGCACAAGCGGUGGAGCAUGUGGUUUAAUUCGACGCAACGCGAAGAACCUUACCAGGUCUUGACAUCUUCUGCUGCUUCCAGAGAUGGAAGGUUCCCCUUCGGGGGACAGAAUGACAGGUGGUGCAA